AGUGCUGUAAUUUCCAUUUUAAAACUGUAUUUUCUGUAUGUUCCUGUUCAUGUACAGAAGACACUGGAAAUAUUUCCAAGUAGUUUUUAUUUCAUUUUAUGUUUUUACUAACUUGGCUAAGUUGCGAGUACAUACUUUUAUAUUGUUUAUUGGAAUGAUUUUCCAAGUUGCACCUAACGUUUAUAAGAAAAUGGAAGGAGAAAAUCUUUUCAUUAAUCAAAAACACCAAAAUAAGCAUUUAUAAAAAGGAUUAAAAGAUUUCAAGAUAGCAUUUUUUGGUAUUUUUGGAUUCUUUACCUGUCAUUUUAAAUCUCAGCUAAAAGGUCAAAAUAUUAAGAGGUAUUUAAUCCAACCACUCACCACUUCGGUGUUUGGAUUGCAGUGGAACAUGUACUAUAUCCAAAGGUGAUUGUAAAUUUGUUUGUAAUAAAUAGCCAAGAAGCACAGAUGAGAAAUUAGCAUGUACUUUUCUCUGAGAGUUAGUUAAAAGAAAUUAGGCAAUUUUGUUUUUAAAUAACUUUUUCUCACACUGUUGAAUGGGAUUUUCUGCAAAUGUACAGAGAGCUUAUUUUUAGUUGGAACAAGAUGAAAACAGACAUAGAAUUUAUACCAGGAAAAUUCUCACCCAGCCUGAUUCCCUUCUCAAACCUCUAAGGAGUGUCAGGGGUGUUUUGCCUGAUGAGGCAAGGAGGACAUUCUCUUCUUCCAGCCUUUUCCCCACAAGACUACACUCACGUCUUUGUUGGCCUUGCUGAGUAGUCUGUAUCCCUGGGUCGUUUAGAUAGGAGCAUCAUCUAUGCUUGGAAGCAGUGACCAAAAUGGCUAGUAAUCCUACAAAUUGUGCAUAUACCUUUAGAAAGACUUAGAAAACUGCAGUGAAAGUACAUUGUUACCCAUUCCAUUACUCAGGGAUCAGUGAUGUCCAGCCAUGCUGUGCCAUACUGGUCAGUAGCACUAGGGAUUAAUACUCUUUAUAAAUUAAAAAAAAAAGUUUUUAUUUAUUUUUGAGAGAUAGAGCACUAGCUGGGGAGGGACAGAGAGAGAGGGAGACACAGAAUCCGAAGCAGGCUUCAGGCUCUGAGCUCUCAGCACAGAGCCCGAUGCGGGGCUCAAACUCAUGGAACUCGUGAACCGCGAGAUCUUGACCUGAGCCGAAGUCAGACGCUCAACCGACUGGGCCACCCAGGCGCCUCUAGUGAUUAAUACUGUUAUGUGUAAAUCACUAAAGAUGUCCUUCCUAGACUUAAAACUCUGUAUAGGACAGUGAAUUCAAUGCAUUUCUUCUUUAUUGUCCAUCCAACUCAGUAAAUCCAACUGUAGCCUCUUCUCUUUAUUGCCCUGGGUGGAUCUUUCUAUGUAGCCUUUCUGUUUAUGUAUAUCUUGAGCCAGGUGCCAGGUUUUAGGGUAAAAUGAUAAGAGUUGGACAAAAUAUUUCUCUGGCGAUUUUUUUAUUGGUAUCUGUGGAAUUCUGACCCUCUGAGGAUGCCACGGGGUGGCUUGUGCAGCUGCGCUUGUGGUUUUCAGAGCAGCGGCAGGAGACACCUGACUGCUAGUCCCAAUUCCUCUUCUAAAUGGCUGUGUAGUCUUAAGCAAGUGACUUGGCCACUCUGAGCUUCAGUUUCCUAUUCUGUAAAACAAGGAAAUUGCCCUAGAAAAAUCUCAGAACCCUGCCAACCUCCGAAACCCUAUGGUUCUGUGACUAAUUUUAGUUAUUCCAAAGCUGGAAAUAUGUUCAGCUCAGAAAUGUGUUUUACAUUGAUUUACUUUUUUUUUUUUUUUAGUUACUGCAGUAUAUCAAGUAGUUAGUUCUAUGUUUAACAUAGUGAAGGGUCCAUUCUUUGAUGGUGGUAACAACAGCAACUCUUGCAGCUCUUACUUUGUAGCAGGUACUAUUCUUAAGUGUUCUCUGCUGAAUCCUUGCAAGUUUGUGAGAUAGGUCCUAUUAGUACUUCCCUGCUUGAUGGAUGAGGGAACCAAGACAGAGAGAACAGACUUUUAGUUUGGAAUCUCUCUUUGUCACCAUUCUGGGAAUCCCCUUCACCUCUCUUCUCUGCUAGAUCCCUUCCCUUGUUCCCCAUGUUCCAUUUCUUCCUCUUUCUGAAUGUUCUUCCUUUUGUUGCUGAGAAGGGAUGAAUAGAAAUAAUUUUUUGAGGCCUCCAUGUCUGCAACAUGACUUUAUUCUGACUUCACCUUUGAUUGGCAGUUUGGCUGGAUAUAGAACUCUAUAUUGGCAGUAAGUUCCUUUCAGAAUUUUGAACGUAUUGCUCCCUUGUUUUCCGGUCUCUUCUGGUGUGACGUCCCAUAUCCUCCUGAUUCCCGGUCCUUGUAUAGCCAGGGUUUUUGUUUUAUUUUAUUUUGUUUCUGGAAAUUUGUUGAAUCUCUUUGUCCCCCAUGUUCUGCAGCUUUACAGUGAUGUGUCUUGAUGUGGGCCUGUUUUCAUCCAUUGUGUCAGGCUGUUGGUACAUCCUUUUCUUUUGGAAGUUCAUGGUCUUCAGUUUGGGGACAUUUUCUAAUAUGUUUUUAACAUUUAUUUUUGAGAGAGAGAGACAGAGGCUAGGGAGGGAGGGACAGAGAGAGAGAGGGAGACACAGAAUCUGAAACAGGCUCCAGGCUCUGAGCUGUCAGCACAGAGCCUGACAUGGGGCUUGUACUCAAAAACUGUGAGAUCAUGACCUGAGCCAAAGUAGGAAGCCUAACUGACUGAGCCACCCAGGUGCCCCAGGGGACAUUUUCUUAUACACUAUUGUGUUAAUGAAUUUCUUCCUCCUCUUUCCCCUUUUUACUCUUUCUGGAACUACUCCCCAGAUUCUGGACCUUUCUGGACUUGUCCUCUAAUUUUUAUUCUUUUCUUAAAUUUUCAUUUUGAUAAUUUUUCUCUGUAGUUUCUGGAAUAUGUGUAGUUUCUGGAAAAUUUUUUCCCAGCUCUUUAGUGAAUAUUAUUUCUGUUAUUAUUUUUUUAUUUACAGGAGCUUUUAAAAAAUUCUUGGAAUGUUCUUUUUUGAUAUUCUGUUAUUUUGUUUUAUGAUUUCAGUGUAUUCUCCAAGGAUUCUAAUGACAGGUUUCCUCUUUUACGAAAAAUUUUGAACAAAAAGUAGAAAGAAUAGUAUGAGAUUCCCCUGUUCCCGUCAUCUCCUGGCCUCACUUAUUUAAUCAUCCACCUCACCUAGAUUCUCUCAAAGCAAAUCCCAGCUCUCAUAUCAUUUCAUCCAUAAAUAUUUCCGUAUAUUUCUCAUUAUAUAUAUAUAUGUGUAUUACAUAUAUGUAUGUAUUACAUAUGUAUACAUAUGUAUAUUUAUUACAUAUAUAUGUAUUGCAUAUAUAUGUAUGUGUGUAUAUAUAUGUAUAUAUGUAUGUGUGUGUGUGUAUAUAUAUAUAUAUACACAUACAUAUAUAAUGGACGACUAAAACAUAACCAUAAUAGUCGUACCUAAAAAUUAUCAACAGUUCCUUAAUAUCAUCAAAUAGCCAAACAAUAUUUGAAUCGCCUGUUUAUCUCAUUUAAAAAAAAACCAAUUGGAUUUUCCAAAUCAGUACUCAGAUAAAGUCCAUAUAGUGCAAUUGGUUGACAUGUGUUCUAAUUUCUUUUAAUCUAUAGGUUCCCCCAAUUCUCUCUCUCCUUUGUAUUCUAUUCCAUAUAUUUGUUGAAGAAACUGGGCCAUUUGUCCUAUAGAGGUCCCACAGUCUGAAUUGUGCUGAUUGUAUCUCUGUUGCAAGUUCAUUUUUGGUUUGUUUGUUGGCUUUGGACUCUAUCUUUCAUUUUGGAAUCCUUCCUCAGAUAUCGGGUGGUACUUCUUUGUCUGUUAUAUUUAAAAAUAAGGGAUGGGGGAAACCAGCCUAAUUCAAGCCCGGCACAGGUGAGUGGGAGCUUGUUGGCAAUAGCUUCACUUAAAAGGGUUGUCUACAGCCCUUUACUUGGGGAACCACCAGUGUCAGUAACUCUUUGGCUGUUUCAGAUUGCCCAGCAUCUUCCUGUCUCCUGCCGGAGGGUCUGAGCAUUUCUGCCAUCUUUCUGGGAACCAAGGUGGGGGUAGGGCUUGUGGUGAAUAUCUCACUUGCAUGUGUUCACCGAAUCCCAGCUUUCAUGACAGUACCCACUCCCCAACAAGUUGUAUUGAGUCCCUCACCCAGAGACCUAUAUUUUAUACUUUCCAGAGAAUGUAUCUUCACGUAUAUACUUCUGCCAGAUGGAGGGGGAGCAAUCAUAGCUUUACAGAACAGGGGCCUGGUCUGGGGACUCUCACUAUCUCUUGAAGAUCCCCUUUAUUCUAGCUCAUCCCUUCCAGUGUUCCCUAUUUCCAGUAAUGCCCUCAGGGCCUUUUGAGAAUUCUGUGGUGAAAAUUAGAUUGGUCUUGGCUUUCUCCACUGCUAAUUUAAGGUUCAGCUUUGUCUGCUUUCCAGUUCUGAAAUUUUGUUAUUAUUGUCCUCUCAUGCUCUUAGGAGGGAGCAGGAGUAAGUUCUUGUAUUCAAUCUACCUUUCCUAGAAUUCAGUUGACUUUUAAUUAUAGUGAUUCAGGGAUAAUUGAUCUCUUGUCUCAUGACUCUUUAGUUUCCAACUGAAGCAAAGAACUGGAAAAACUUGACUCUUAUGGUUGCAGGAAGACUUCCCCCACAUAAAAUUAUUAUAGAUCAUUCGGUUAUUUGCAAGAUGCAUGAAAAGCGGGCGCAACAAAUCAUCAAGUGAAAGCUCACGAAGGUAGCUGUAUAAAGACCCAAACUUAAAGUUUUUCACAAAAUGUAGAACAAGGACUCACUCUGUGUGUUGUAAAACCAGCUGCUCCUACAGCUGCUCAAAGCCAAGAAGCAGUUGGCAGGAUCAAGAUAUUUCAUCUGGUACAAGGCCCUGUUCCAGACUCAUAUUAGCCAACAUGGAAAAAGAGUCCAAGCCUGUCCAAACUUCUUUAGAAAAGCAGCCGGAAGGCUCCUCCGAGUCUCCCUGAGGCUGGGUGCGGAGCUCUUCACUGGAGUCAUCUGAAAACUUGCAGGAGUGAUUUCUUUUUCUUGGAUGAGUUUGGGGCUCAUUUUUUUUUUUUUUGACCUAACCAUAAUGGCUGUCAUCCCUGUUUAGCACACAUCUGAUUCAGUUGGAUUCGGCGAACUCUGCCCUGUUGUAAGAAUACAGUUCAGUUUUGUGAACAGGAGGUGUGGGAAUGGGGAAUCUCAGCUGACCGUUGUUCUGACAGUAGGUGUUCUCUGUUGGAAACAAAACGGGGCCGUACCCAGAGGCAGCCGUUUGGGGAUGUGCUGAGGCACAAGUAUCUCAGGGUAAAAUGCACCCACUGAAUUGAGUUUUCCUAAGAGUGGGUAUCCUAGGAAAAUGCAAUGGGUGCUGAAGAAUCUUCCACCGUAACUUCCUGUUCUACCACUAAUUUUUUUUUUUUUACAUAGUUUCUCCUUAACUCUGUCAUAGCCAAAGUGGCAUCAAAAGUAAAUAUUGGCAUGUAAGAAUGGCAGGUUUUGUUUUUAUUUCACUUUACCGUCUCCCUCACUCUGGCCCAAAACGGGAAAGUUACAUUUCUAAAGAUAUCUAUUAAAGGCAUACAUUAUAUAGAAAGUUAAUGUCUUUAGAACGUAUCAUCUCAUAGUAGUAGGUAAAUGAGAGGUUUAUUAAACUACACAGAAUCUGACAAAGCAAUAAAUGCUUUAUGUUUUCCCAUAACUUCUUAGCAGGUGUUAUUGUUUAUUAUUAUUUUAAUAAUGUAGCCCUUAGGUAUAAAACCACGAAAAAGGAGAAUGUAAUUCAUGAUACUUCUGAGAGCUCAAUGAUGUCAUCAUUUAUUGUAAACAGUGCGUUUUUAAACCACCUGUUUGAAAUAUAAUUCUAAAACAACAUAACAAUCUAUGUAGACAAUAGUUUAAAUUUUAGUAUGGUUCAUUACAACUCCAGACUUUUUUGAGUCUUGUUUUCUAUUUUCUAUGGCUGUAAGGAUACAAAAGAUAAAUAGCUAAAAACACUUUGAAAAGUGGCACGCAAGAAGAUUAUGUACUGUUCCAACCUCACAGGGCUGCUAUGAGAGAGUGUGUGGGUGUGUGGGUGUGGGUGUGUAUGUUGUGAGUGUGUGUGUGAGGGAGAGAAAGAGAUGAAGAGAGUACCAGUAAUGUAACACCUGGUAUUCAGUAGCACUAUAUAGUAAGUAUUUGCUGAAGUAUUAAUUAGGUAGUCACUAAAUAACGGUUAACAUUUAUUGAACACUAUUCUACUUGCCAUAUUAUCUCAUUUAAUCUUCAUCACCACUCAGAAGUAUUAGCUCCAUUUUACAGAUGAAGUAACUGAGGCUUAAUAACUACUUAGCAAGUUGGGGAACCAGGGUUCCAUCCAGGCUUUCUUGACUCUAGAACCUGUGUGAUCUAAAACUAUAUACUAUAAAACUAAAACUAUAUACUGCUUGGGUGCCUGGCUGGCUUAGUUAUUAAAGUGUCUGACUUCGGCUUAGGUCAUGAUAUCAUGGUUCAUGAGUUCGAGCUCCACAUUAGGCUCUCUCCUGUCAGCACAGAGCUUGCUUUGGACCCUCUGUCCUCCUCUUUCUCUGCACCCCCCUCUUCUCCUCGUGUGCUCUCUCUCUC
Long non-coding RNA from Acinonyx jubatus (cheetah), 6561 nucleotides. RefSeq lists it as uncharacterized. The transcript has 2 exons. Lineage: Eukaryota; Metazoa; Chordata; Mammalia; Carnivora; Felidae. The record is from RefSeq and is a predicted model, not a curated record.